GAUGAACGCUGGCGGCGUGCUUAACACAUGCAAGUCGAACGGAAAGGCCCAAGCUUGCUUGGGUACUCGAGUGGCGAACGGGUGAGUAACACGUGGGUGAUCUGCCCUGCACUUCGGGAUAAGCCUGGGAAACUGGGUCUAAUACCGGAUAGGACGAUGGUUUGGAUGCCAUUAUGGAAAGUUUUUUCGGUGUGGGAUGAGCUCGCGGCCUAUCAGCUUGUUGGUGGGGUAAUGGCCUACCAAGGCGUCGACGGGUAGCCGGCCUGAGAGGGUGUACGGCCACAUUGGGACUGAGAUACGGCCCAGACUCCUACGGGAGGCAGCAGUGGGGAAUAUUGCACAAUGGGCGCAAGCCUGAUGCAGCGACGCCGCGUGGGGGAUGACGGCCUUCGGGUUGUAAACUCCUUUCGCUAGGGACGAAGCGUUUUGUGACGGUACCUGGAGAAGAAGCACCGGCUAACUACGUG
Molecule: ribosomal RNA, 467 nt
Filed under: uncultured bacterium
Lineage: Bacteria
Description: partial 16S ribosomal RNA
Rfam family: Bacterial small subunit ribosomal RNA
Source: RNAcentral